Molecule: unclassified non-coding RNA, 400 nt
Filed under: uncultured bacterium
Lineage: Bacteria
Description: contains 16S-23S intergenic spacer region
Source: RNAcentral
UCCCCGUUGCCAGGGCAGUCUGAUUAGAAAAAUACAACUAAUCACAAGGGUUGCGCUCGUUGAUGGACUUAACCAAACAUCUCACGACACGAGCUGACGACGGCCAUGCAUCAUCUGUCACCGAGUUCCCCGUACUUACCUGAAUAUCCUCUAUAGCUUCUACUACAGUAUUCAAAUAACUACGGGGCACUCAAUCCUUUCGGAUUAAUUCUCGGGAUGUCAAACCCUGGUAAGGUUCUUCGUUUAUCAUCGAAUUAAAGAACACGUUCCACCGCUUGUGCGGGUCCCCGUCAAUUCCUUUAUGUUUUAGUCUUGCGACCGUACUCCACAGGCGGGAUACUUAACGCGUUAGCUUCGCUACUGAAGGGGUCGAUACCUCCAACAGCUAGUAUCCAUAGUU